Molecule: ribosomal RNA, 2903 nt
Filed under: Escherichia coli
Lineage: Bacteria; Pseudomonadati; Pseudomonadota; Gammaproteobacteria; Enterobacterales; Enterobacteriaceae
Description: 23S ribosomal RNA
Rfam family: Bacterial large subunit ribosomal RNA
Source: RNAcentral
UUAAGCGACUAAGCGUACACGGUGGAUGCCCUGGCAGUCAGAGGCGAUGAAGGACGUGCUAAUCUGCGAUAAGCGUCGGUAAGGUGAUAUGAACCGUUAUAACCGGCGAUUUCCGAAUGGGGAAACCCAGUGUGUUUCGACACACUAUCAUUAACUGAAUCCAUAGGUUAAUGAGGCGAACCGGGGGGAACUGAAACAUCUAAGUACCCCGAGGAAAAGAAAUCAACCGAGAUUCCCCCAGUAGCGGCGAGCGAACGGGGAGGAGCCCAGAGCCUGAAUCAGUGUGUGUGUUAGUGGAAGCGUCUGGAAAGGCGCGCGAUACAGGGUGACAGCCCCGUACACAAAAAUGCACAUGCUGUGAGCUCGAUGAGUAGGGCGGGACACGUGGUAUCCUGUCUGAAUAUGGGGGGACCAUCCUCCAAGGCUAAAUACUCCUGACUGACCGAUAGUGAACCAGUACCGUGAGGGAAAGGCGAAAAGAACCCCGGCGAGGGGAGUGAAAAAGAACCUGAAACCGUGUACGUACAAGCAGUGGGAGCACAGAGCAAUCUGUGUGACUGCGUACCUUUUGUAUAAUGGGUCAGCGACUUAUAUUCUGUAGCAAGGUUAACCGAAUAGGGGAGCCGAAGGGAAACCGAGUCUUAACCGGGCGUUAAGUUGCAGGGUAUAGACCCGAAACCCGGUGAUCUAGCCAUGGGCAGGUUGAAGGUUGGGUAACACUAACUGGAGGACCGAACCGACUAAUGUUGAAAAAUUAGCGGAUGACUUGUGGCUGGGGGUGAAAGGCCAAUCAAACCGGGAGAUAGCUGGUUCUCCCCGAAAGCUAUUUAGGUAGCGCCUCGUGAAUUCAUCUCCGGGGGUAGAGCACUGUUUCGGCAAGGGGGUCAUCCCGACUUACCAACCCGAUGCAAACUGCGAAUACCGGAGAAUGUUAUCACGGGAGACACACGGCGGGUGCUAACGUCCGUCGUGAAGAGGGAAACAACCCAGACCGCCAGCUAAGGUCCCAAAGUCAUGGUUAAGUGGGAAACGAUGUGGGAAGGCCCAGACAGCCAGGAUGUUGGCUUAGAAGCAGCCAUCAUUUAAAGAAAGCGUAAUAGCUCACUGGUCGAGUCGGCCUGCGCGGAAGAUGUAACGGGGCUAAACCAUGCACCGAAGCUGCGGCAGCGACACUGUGUGUUGUUGGGUAGGGGAGCGUUCUGUAAGCCUGUGAAGGUGUGCUGUGAGGCAUGCUGGAGGUAUCAGAAGUGCGAAUGCUGACAUAAGUAACGAUAAAGCGGGUGAAAAGCCCGCUCGCCGGAAGACCAAGGGUUCCUGUCCAACGUUAAUCGGGGCAGGGUGAGUCGACCCCUAAGGCGAGGCCGAAAGGCGUAGUCGAUGGGAAACAGGUUAAUAUUCCUGUACUUGGUGUUACUGCGAAGGGGGGACGGAGAAGGCUAUGUUGGCCGGGCGACGGUUGUCCCGGUUUAAGCGUGUAGGCUGGUUUUCCAGGCAAAUCCGGAAAAUCAAGGCUGAGGCGUGAUGACGAGGCACUACGGUGCUGAAGCAACAAAUGCCCUGCUUCCAGGAAAAGCCUCUAAGCAUCAGGUAACAUCAAAUCGUACCCCAAACCGACACAGGUGGUCAGGUAGAGAAUACCAAGGCGCUUGAGAGAACUCGGGUGAAGGAACUAGGCAAAAUGGUGCCGUAACUUCGGGAGAAGGCACGCUGAUAUGUAGGUGAAGUCCCUCGCGGAUGGAGCUGAAAUCAGUCGAAGAUACCAGCUGGCUGCAACUGUUUAUUAAAAACACAGCACUGUGCAAACACGAAAGUGGACGUAUACGGUGUGACGCCUGCCCGGUGCCGGAAGGUUAAUUGAUGGGGUCAGCGCAAGCGAAGCUCUUGAUCGAAGCCCCGGUAAACGGCGGCCGUAACUAUAACGGUCCUAAGGUAGCGAAAUUCCUUGUCGGGUAAGUUCCGACCUGCACGAAUGGCGUAAUGAUGGCCAGGCUGUCUCCACCCGAGACUCAGUGAAAUUGAACUCGCUGUGAAGAUGCAGUGUACCCGCGGCAAGACGGAAAGACCCCGUGAACCUUUACUAUAGCUUGACACUGAACAUUGAGCCUUGAUGUGUAGGAUAGGUGGGAGGCUUUGAAGUGUGGACGCCAGUCUGCAUGGAGCCGACCUUGAAAUACCACCCUUUAAUGUUUGAUGUUCUAACGUGGACCCGUGAUCCGGGUUGCGGACAGUGUCUGGUGGGUAGUUUGACUGGGGCGGUCUCCUCCUAAAGAGUAACGGAGGAGCACGAAGGUUGGCUAAUCCUGGUCGGACAUCAGGAGGUUAGUGCAAUGGCAUAAGCCAGCUUGACUGCGAGCGUGACGGCGCGAGCAGGUGCGAAAGCAGGUCAUAGUGAUCCGGUGGUUCUGAAUGGAAGGGCCAUCGCUCAACGGAUAAAAGGUACUCCGGGGAUAACAGGCUGAUACCGCCCAAGAGUUCAUAUCGACGGCGGUGUUUGGCACCUCGAUGUCGGCUCAUCACAUCCUGGGGCUGAAGUAGGUCCCAAGGGUAUGGCUGUUCGCCAUUUAAAGUGGUACGCGAGCUGGGUUUAGAACGUCGUGAGACAGUUCGGUCCCUAUCUGCCGUGGGCGCUGGAGAACUGAGGGGGGCUGCUCCUAGUACGAGAGGACCGGAGUGGACGCAUCACUGGUGUUCGGGUUGUCAUGCCAAUGGCACUGCCCGGUAGCUAAAUGCGGAAGAGAUAAGUGCUGAAAGCAUCUAAGCACGAAACUUGCCCCGAGAUGAGUUCUCCCUGACCCUUUAAGGGUCCUGAAGGAACGUUGAAGACGACGACGUUGAUAGGCCGGGUGUGUAAGCGCAGCGAUGCGUUGAGCUAACCGGUACUAAUGAACCGUGAGGCUUAACCU